GUUCAGAUACAAGGUGCACUUCGUAAAUGUGAUACAAUUCUGAUCCUUCUUCUGGCCAAUAACGAUGGCACAUAGCUACACCCUCCUCGGAGGGUAAUACAACUCGUUGGCGAAUUGGGUAUUGGAUCCACCAUGGUUGGGAGUGAAUUUCACUAUGGCUAUUGCAGGUACCUUGAAAAAGAAGAAAAUUGUUAGGAUGUGAGAUAAAAAAUGCUGACAGAGUCGAAGGUCGUAACUCUCUCUGGAAUAAAAGUUCUUUGAAGAAAUUGCCUUCCACCAAAAUUUAAUUUAAGGAACAUAUACAAAAGUAACGAAUCAUAUACAUUUUAAAUUAAACAGUAAUCAUACCCAUGGCGUAAAUUGUACAAGGACGUUUGCAUAAUACAUUGUGUGAAAGGAUG
This is a long non-coding RNA of Osmia bicornis bicornis, 401 nucleotides long. RefSeq lists it as uncharacterized. The record is from RefSeq and is a predicted model, not a curated record. The transcript is spliced from 3 exons. NCBI's taxonomy places the organism in Eukaryota, Metazoa, Arthropoda, Insecta, Hymenoptera, Megachilidae.